UGGAGCUUGCAUUCUCUUCUUCCUUUUUGCUUUCAUGGAGUUUCAAGAUGCUCUCAUAGAGACAGGACCUUAUCUGGAUCAAGCAUAUCGGUGCCCAAUCGCACAUUUACAGCUUGGGCCUCAACUCCGCUUUGGAAGCCAGCAUCGUCUCCAAGAGUAUAGUCAACUAGCAAUCUACCCCCAAGGCCACUAGCCUCAUCCUCCAGCUCCUCUGUAAGGACAAGAUCAUCGGUCUUGCCAUCCUCCUCAUCUAUAAACCUAGCACUAGCAAGACCACUAUUGCCAUGGGCCGUGCCAAGUUUUAUAGAAUAUAUAUAAAUAAUAAGUGAA
Molecule: long non-coding RNA, 330 nt
Filed under: Elaeis guineensis (African oil palm)
Lineage: Eukaryota; Viridiplantae; Streptophyta; Magnoliopsida; Arecales; Arecaceae
Description: long non-coding RNA (EGUI_LNC010061)
Source: RNAcentral